AGAGUGAACGCUGGCGGUAGGCCUAACACAUGCAAGUCGAACGGCAGCACAGUAGGAGCUUGCUCUUACGGGUGGCGAGUGGCGGACGGGUGAGGAAUACAUCGGAAUCUACCUUUUGGUGGGGGAUAACGUAGGGAAACUUACGCUAAUACCGCAUACGCCCUUCGGGGGAAAGCCGGGGACCAGCAAUGGCCUGGCGCUGAUAGAUGAGCCGAUGUCGGAUUAGCUAGUUGGUGAGGUAAUGGCUCACCAAGGCGACGAUCCGUAGCUGGUCUGAGAGGAUGAUCAGCCACACUGGAACUGAGACACGGUCCAGACUCCUACGGGAGCAGCAGGUGGGGAAUAUUGGACAA
Molecule: ribosomal RNA, 353 nt
Filed under: uncultured soil bacterium
Lineage: Bacteria
Description: bacterial SSU rRNA
Rfam family: Bacterial small subunit ribosomal RNA
Source: RNAcentral